RNAcentral lists this long non-coding RNA (1242 nucleotides) under Sus scrofa (pig). Its description in RNAcentral is "lncRNA (ENSSSCG00070009691.1)". Lineage: Eukaryota; Metazoa; Chordata; Mammalia; Artiodactyla; Suidae. The record is from RNAcentral.
GGUUAAUCAGUCCCAGUCUUGGCCUUGGUGAGCUGGAACAAAGUUGAGUAGAAAGAGCAGGCCUGGGUACAAAUCCCGUCUCUGUCCCUUUGCCUCUUGGAACCUGAAUUUGUUUCCUUGCAUAAUGAGGAUAGAGCCUUCACUGUUGGCUGCCUGGGAGAACAGGAGGGUGGAUUGGAAAAGCAUCAAGCACAGAGCCAGGCACAUAGGAAGUACUCAAUAUACAGUAGUGGCUCUUAUCCCGGCAUAUUAAUUAAGGCUGCCAGGCUGUGAUGGGUGUGGCUUGGGGGCACAGAGGUGCUUAAUAAUCUCUCUGAAAGACCGCUAAGAGAUUUCUUUGGAAUUCUUAGACAAGGUGCCUGCUUUCUGAAACAGGGCAACACCAGAGCACUGGGGCUCAGCCAGUCAUGAGCCAGUUAAGCAGAGAGGAAUGGACACAAGUGGUUGUGCUAGCCCUACCCUCAGGGGCCCUUGCGGGCAUGGGAAGUGAGGCCGAGGGUGUCAGGGGUCACUGGUGGCCACGCUGGCUCUGAAGCACCAGCAGUUCAUUUUAUAAAUCUUCCUGCCCAGGUCUGGGGCCCUUGCUGGUAAAGGGAGGGGAGCAAGCAAGAGGAUCUCCCUGUGAAACUCUGUCCACGCACAGAUGAACUUUGCUCUAUGGGUCAGGAUCGCCCAUUUUGUAUUAUAUUCAUCCCUCCUGCCUCCAGACACGUCUCUCCUCUCUCCCCAGCUCCAGGACAGGCCCAGAGACAUCCGCUUCCAUGAGGAGCCAUCUUUGGAGCAAAAGAAUAGGAACUCCUGAAUAACCUCCACCACAGCUGUGUGCACAGAGCCCAGAACAGUAAAUUGUUCAACACUCAAGGCUCUUGGCUGUUUAACUUCUGUUAGGCAGCAGAGGCCAGGAAACAAGUGGAGAACCAGAAGAGGAAGGAAAGCCCCAGGAGUAGGCUUUACCAAGUGAGUAAAGGAAACUCUUUCCAGGAGAAAUCCAGGGUGGGAGAAGUCCGGAGCCCAGCGACCAUGUGGAGGUGGAAGAGGCUAGCAAGCGUGGCUCCUUCCUCUCCUGAGGGCAGGACCUGUAGGAAGAAAUGAGAGGGUCAAGUCUCAGCUGAGCUUUUCAGUCAAGCUUCUCCUUCAAGGAGCUGCUGGAGGUGCACGUGUCCUCUUUUGCUUGCUCUGCACCCGUGGACAUCUCAGAUCAGCUGCUGGAAUCUAUCCUCUGUCUGCUCUCAUUGCCCUUCA